AGAGGGUGCAAGCGUUGUUCGGAAUUAUUGGGCGUAAAGCGCGUGUAGGCGGCUUGUUAAGUCGGGUGUGAAAGCCCUCAGCUCAACUGAGGAAGGGCGCCCGAAACUGGCGAGCUUGAGUGUCGGAGAGGAUGGCGGAAUACCCCAAGUAGAGGUGAAAUUCGUAGAUAUGGGGUGGAACACCGGUGGCGAAGGCGGCCAUCUGGACGACAACUGACGCUGAGACGCGAAAGCGUGGGGAGCAAACAGGAUUAGAUACCCUGGUAGUCCACGCCGUAAACGAUGAGAACUAGGUGUCGUGGGUGUUGACCCCUGCGGUGCCGUAGCUAACGCAUUAAGUUCUCCGCCUGGGAAGUACGGUCGCAA
This 366-nucleotide ribosomal RNA is filed under the name uncultured bacterium. RNAcentral's name for it is "bacterial SSU rRNA". It matches the Rfam family "Bacterial small subunit ribosomal RNA", at positions 527 to 891 of the family's 1533-position model. The record is from RNAcentral.